CCGCGGAGCCACUUUCUGAGUUCUUUAGUAACUCUAAUCUAGCUCUGAGGAAGGUCCCUGGAUCCCCGACAGAGAGUGUCGUAGCAUAAAUGCUGCUAGCCUCCGCCGUCAUCUCGAUCUCGGAUGGGACGUUGUGUGCGGUUGUUUCACGACUUCCAUGCGUGACUGAUCUUCGAGAUGGGCGAGAGUGUAUUGGUCAAAGUAAAGUAAUGUGCGCAUCGGUCGCCUGACCGAUAACUCAACAGGGCCUUUUACGAGGAAACUUUUUUUUUAUUUUUAGAUUUACGAUGUUAUUCGGACAAUUCUGAAAAUCUUACGCUUUCCUUAAAGGGGAGACUACUAUGAGGUUUAAAAGACGCGGGCGAUUGGAGUGAGAUUUCUCAAGCAAUAGGUUGUCAGCCGGAAACUGUUAUUUAUAAACAAAUGGUGAUGAUCAAUCGAUUGUAAUUCGUUAGCAAGUGACUGUAAUUCAUCUCUUAACGUCUAAGAGUUGUUCAAUUAUUUAUUAAAUUAGGAAAACUAAUGACGCAUACAAUUAGCCCGAAUUUUUUUGUUUUAGACUCUAUUUAAUUUUUAUUCACUCCAAUCGAUUGUAAUUUGUUAGCAGGUAAAUGCAAUGCAUUUGUAAACGUUUAAGAGUUACCCAAUUAAUUAUUAAAUUAGAAAAAUUGGUUACGCGUACAAUUAGCCGAAUUUAUUUUUUUUACAUUUUUUUAUAUUUUUAUUCACUCCAGUCGAUUGGAAAUCGUUUGUAGUAUACUAAUUUGAUGUUUCUAAUGUUCAAGAGUAGAAGGGUUGAGUUAAAGCAGCUAAUUAAAAUUUUCAUCAGUUCACACUGUCCGAUCGGCCUCUGACGUCAUUGAUGUCGUGGCAUUCUAAGCUGCUUUUUUCCAUUUUGGAGUGAUUUUCUCGAGUGCAAAUAAAAAAGUUUGCUUUACAAGAAACAAACGGGAGAUUGGACAGAAAAAUAAUCAGGAAUUGUAAAAAAGUAAUCUCAAAUUGCUACAACAUCUGUACAACUGGAUCUAACAGUUCGGACUAAGUGGAGAGUGGAAAAUCAUUUUGUUUCGGAUUUUCUAAUUACAAUUACAAUAUUUGGUUCAUCAUCAUACAUGGCACCCCAAGCUUUUACUUCUAUUUUCUGCAUAAUUCUGGAGGAGAAAUAAAUUCAGAUUAUGAUGGGGGAUUAGUUAUCUGGAAAUCUCCCAGAAGGGGCAUAACUUAGACUUACGAUGGUGGAUAAGCAAGCAGAAGUCAUUCAGAAAUAUUAGCAAAAGUGUCGCGAUGGAAAUCGAGCUGUUAAAUGGAAGCAAUAUUCACUGGAAUAGAAUGGACCAGAAGGUGAUGAAAAUUUCUCAUCGAACGUCAAUGAUGGGAUCCUUCUACCUGGCGUUUCUGAUGGGAUUGACAUUACGAAAGAAAUAUGCCUCCGGCUUCUCGUACUGCAGUACAGGAUGCGAUUUCGAGCCUGAUAAAAUUUGAAAGUCAUUUCUCAAAUGGAGAAAUACCUGUUUAUUCUCACUCAGUAUGGAAGGAAUUGGCCAAGGAACACAAGGGAGCUUGGAGUGCCCAUAAUUGGUACAACAACGUGAAGAAAAAUCUCCGGGGAAUAUGGACCAAGGCAUCUGAACACUGGAAUUUCGAUUGUGCCAAGAGUGACCAACUAGGAGACACGCUGAAUUCAACAUUGGGACAAUUUGAGGCAUCCUUCAAAAUUGUGUUACGUGACGAUAGGGAUGGAGAUUCGUGGUUUGAGUGUUUCCUCAGUUUGAUAGAGUGGACAAGACUUUUUGAGCCCCUGAGAAUGGAUAAUUUGGAAGGAAAAGUAAAAUUCAUGCUGCCUCCGGGUCAGUGGGGAAAUGAUUUAGAUACGAUUUUUUGGAGACAGAAUAGAUUGCCCUGUUCAUAUUUACUCGAAGGUGCUGAAGUUGACACAUGUUCUUCUAGUUUUCUCAGAAUGUCGGGUAAUUGUAGAAAUAAACACUGCCAAAGUGAAUUUUAUGCAUAUGCCAAUAUCAAACCUACAGCAGUUAAUGAUGAACUCCUUAUUCGAGUGAGGACUCGAGACACUCGUGGGAUCGAACAUGAGAAAGUUCAACCUCAUUUGGAUGAAACGAGAAAACGAACAGUUCCUAAGCCAAAGCACAAUAAACCGGCAGGAAAGCAGACGCGUCGCGUAACUACAUCAUGUUCAGAUUCAUCUUCACUAUUAAAAAAAGAGCCCGGCAACGAAGAUCUUGUAACACGAGUGUUUCAUAUGCAGUUUUCUUAUCCUUUCAUGGGAUCCAUUCACGAUGUUUCGUACGAUCCGUAUUAUACAUUCUAUGCACUUCCGUCUCAAUUAUUUGUAUACAAAAGACAUCAUGCAUCUACGCGAAGCUCAGCCAUCAGCAUUGGUGUCCUUAAUAAGUGUGCUCAAGAGUUACAUCGUCCAGAGGGACUUCAGUCAUACUCAAUUUCAAUGUAUACCAUCGUCAUUAAAUUCGAAGGUGAACUAUUCCCAGUUUAUCAGAUGUUGUGUGAGAAUAAGCGAAUGGAAACUCGGGAGUUUGGGAUGAAACGGUGGCUUCGUAGAGUGCAGUCUAAACCAAAGCAAGUAUUCGUAGGCUUAUCACCUAGUCUGUUGAGUGUAUGUACACAAAGUAUUAAUGAUAUUUCUCUCGAACGAUAUAUUGACGAGGUUUUUCGAGCGAUCGUUGAGGAGCUAGAUCUACGUUGUAGUUUGGCCGUCUUAAAAGUCGACGUGAAAGAUUUGAUUGGAGCAGUACUUGGAUGGCCAUGUUUAAAAUCUGUUGAUUCGUCUCAUAUUCGCCACUUUUAUUUAAAAUGGAUUGUCGUCCUGGCAAAAUGUCCAACCAUCACCGAAUUCAAGGAAGUUUUCUCACUCGUCUGUAUUGUCAGUCUCCACAACUAUAGAGAUUCAAUCCUUAAUUCACCACUUGCCUCUACGCCAGACUGUGCAAGAAAAAAACUGGCGAAUUAUUUCGUGGAUAAAAAUUUUUCCAUCGACAUGGAUCUUACAAAAUGGGGAGUGAAAAUUAUUUAGAGAUCGACGACUGCAAAGAUAAAAAUUUUAUAAAGUUUACGAAAAUGAGUACAUUUCUUGAGAACGUGAUUCAUGAAUUACGGAAGACUGGUGAGAUUCCUCAGACUCUCAACACACUGCGCUCUUCUGAUACCUCAAAAAUUGUAAUUUUCGUUGAAGAAAUAGUAAUCUCUUGUCUACGAAUCCAACACAGAGGAGAGGAUUUAAGUGCCUACUUCCUUCCAACAAUCAUGAAUGAUCUCUUCCAAUUGGCAAUCCAGUUUCCAAUAUGAACAUCUGUAAAUCCUUGAGGAAAAUUACGCCUGGAAUCCACGAAUCAUUCACGAGAGUAUGUUGAGACUUUGAGGAAACGACUUGAGGGAAAACGAAGUCAUCUCCUUGAAAUCGAUAAAUUGCUGCAAUUCCAUCUUUCUGAUCUGAAAAAAAAUGGUUUAGUGAGUGCAACGGAGAAACUGGCAUCUGACGAUAUUAAAUUCUCUGGAUUUGUUCAUACAGAUUCCACAAAUCAGGAGAGACAUCUGUCAGAGCUCCGUACUCAUCCAUAUUCUCAUAAAAAUUCUUCUAAAGUUAAUCAUGGUACCUUAAAUGAUGAAUUAGAUAAUAAUUUGAAUGAAGACGUAUCAAUCGAUAAAGAUGAUUGGCAGGUGUUGUUGAUUAUCAGUCUCAACAUUUCAUCGCAUAUUGUCGAAGAUUGACGGGACAUUGGGAGCUCUACAAUAAUCUCAGACCAAAGAUCAGUACCUGCCUUGCUACAACCGAAAUAACACCACAAUGUGCCAUUUAUAUCCUCCAAACUUUUGAGUGAAGGUGUUAUGAGAAAUAAUUGCCAAACGACGCACGAAAGAUCCCCUCGCUGUCUCGAUGAAGCCAGAAGUGGGACCGAUCCCUCAACGGGCCAGACACUAAACUCAAGCAAAUAUUCAAUGCACUAUGUGAAAAAUUGUCCCUGUACUUUUGACGAUACUUCUGAGCCUUCAAUCCCCUUCUUCAAAUAAUUUUUUUCAAUUUAAUUGACGUUAGUCGAAGCAGAUUACUCGAGAAACAACAUGGAAUUAUCAUGUCUACUCAGUUGAAGGCUAUGGCGCCCCACCCCCUCGAUCAGUUUAUUUUCCCGUUACCUCUCAUUUGCGAUUGUAUUACUCAUUUUAUAAUGCUCAUCUGUAUAUUGUAUCGUAGUUUCUUAAUAACAAUUGAAGAGAGACAUAGAUUGAGAUAAUGGUAAAGGGUGAAUACAGAUGAAGAUUUUUUUUUAUCCGUGAUGCAGAAUUCCGGAGUUUUAAAAAUUAAAAAACUUAAUGCAAUUUUCACUCACCUAUUGUAAUUUUCAAGUGUAUUAGAAGACGGCAACGAACUUCAAAUGACUGAUAUUUUUAUUGUACCAGUGGAUGCUUCAAGACUGAUAGAUAAGAGAGAAAAAAACGUUGAACGAACUUUUCACUUCUACUCGAUUCCGAAAUUUUCAAGAAUUUCUAGGUGAAUUGAAUAUCGUGGAAGAUUCUUGAAAAUCACACUCUCGUUUUAUAGAUUUCUGCUUGUUCUAGAAGACUAAAUAAGUCGAAUAGUCUUGGAAAAAAUGUAACCCACAUAGCUAGUUCUCACUGUGAAACAUACAAUCCAGAAAAUUGAAAAUCUGUUUGACGUUAUACUUUCAUGUUCCAUUGAAAUUGUUAGAAUUGUUCAUGCGUCAAAAAAUGCGUUUUCUGUAGCAUUACAAAAUGUUUUUUUAUUGGUUUAAAAAAUGUUAGACAUAUAUUUAUAAGAAAAAAUAUUUUAUUAAGAGUCAUUACGUUAUUAACAUGGAUGUUAAGAUAAUGAAGAGUUUUUGCAAUAAAGACUAAAUAGGAAAGUAGCA
Molecule: RNA transcript, 4898 nt
Organism: Diachasma alloeum
Lineage: Eukaryota; Metazoa; Arthropoda; Insecta; Hymenoptera; Braconidae
Exons: 5
Source: RefSeq, a predicted model, not a curated record